Molecule: ribosomal RNA, 359 nt
Filed under: Klebsiella pneumoniae
Lineage: Bacteria; Pseudomonadati; Pseudomonadota; Gammaproteobacteria; Enterobacterales; Enterobacteriaceae
Description: bacterial SSU rRNA
Rfam family: Bacterial small subunit ribosomal RNA
Source: RNAcentral
ACUGGCAGGCUAGAGUCUUGUAGAGGGGGGUAGAAUUCCAGGUGUAGCGGUGAAAUGCGUAGAGAUCUGGAGGAAUACCGGUGGCGAAGGCGGCCCCCUGGACAAAGACUGACGCUCAGGUGCGAAAGCGUGGGGAGCAAACAGGAUUAGAUACCCUGGUAGUCCACGCCGUAAACGAUGUCGAUUUGGAGGUUGUGCCCUUGAGGCGUGGCUUCCGGAGCUAACGCGUUAAAUCGACCGCCUGGGGAGUACGGCCGCAAGGUUAAAACUCAAAUGAAUUGACGGGGGCCCGCACAAGCGGUGGAGCAUGUGGUUUAAUUCGAUGCAACGCGAAGAACCUUACCUGGUCUUGACAUCCA